This 253-nucleotide ribosomal RNA is filed under the name uncultured bacterium. RNAcentral describes it as "partial 16S ribosomal RNA". It matches the Rfam family "Bacterial small subunit ribosomal RNA", at positions 524 to 776 of the family's 1533-position model. The record is from RNAcentral.
UACGUAGGGUGCAAGCGUUAUCCGGAAUUAUUGGGCGUAAAGAGCUCGUAGGCGGUCUGUCGCGUCGGCUGUGAAAUCCCGAGGCUCAACCUCGGGUCUGCAGUCGAUACGGGCAAACUAGAGUAUUGCAGGGGAGACUGGAAUUCCUGGUGUAGCGGUGAAAUGCGCAGAUAUCAGGAGGAACACCGGUGGCGAAGGCGGGUCUCUGGGCAAUAACUGACGCUGAGGAGCGAAAGCGUGGGGAGCAAACAGG